This 234-nucleotide ribosomal RNA is filed under the name uncultured bacterium. RNAcentral describes it as "partial 16S ribosomal RNA". It matches the Rfam family "Bacterial small subunit ribosomal RNA", at positions 524 to 757 of the family's 1533-position model. The record is from RNAcentral.
UACGAAGGGGGCUAGCGUUGCUCGGAAUGACUGGGCGUAAAGGGCGCGUAGGCGGAUGGUACAGUCAGAUGUGAAAUUCCUGGGCUUAACCUGGGGGCUGCAUUUGAUACGUGUUGUCUAGAGUGAGGAAGAGGGUCGUGGAAUUCCCAGUGUAGAGGUGAAAUUCGUAGAUAUUGGGAAGAACACCGGUGGCGAAGGCGGCGACCUGGUCCUUUACUGACGCUGAGGAACGAA